RNAcentral lists this long non-coding RNA (352 nucleotides) under Rhinopithecus bieti (black snub-nosed monkey). RNAcentral's name for it is "lncRNA (ENSRBIG00000045453.1)". Lineage: Eukaryota; Metazoa; Chordata; Mammalia; Primates; Cercopithecidae. The record is from RNAcentral.
GGGGCAGUGAGUUCUCAUCAAGAGCCAGUGGACUCUCAUCCAUCUCUUCUGCCUAAAACAUUAGGAUCCUAAUUAUGAGGCCUCUACAAAGUGAAUUCCACUCAAGAACACAGGUAAUGGAGAUGGAGAAGCUAUUUUCUUUUUCAUGGUAUACAACGAAUUUGAUCAUUCCAUUGCCACUUGACACUGUCAGGAAUCCAGCUGAGAGCCUGAACAAAAGUGUUGAUGACUCCACAAGCCUCUUUCAACAAGCAAUAAUGAGUUGACUCCUGACACCUUGACCCCUUCAGAGAUUAGAUGUCUGGGGAAAGAAAAUGCAGCCUUACACAUAUGAAACAUUUGAUUAUUUCCU